Molecule: ribosomal RNA, 389 nt
Filed under: uncultured Anaerolineaceae bacterium
Lineage: Bacteria; Bacillati; Chloroflexota; Anaerolineae; Anaerolineales; Anaerolineaceae
Description: bacterial SSU rRNA
Rfam family: Bacterial small subunit ribosomal RNA
Source: RNAcentral
UUUGACAUACAAGUAGUAGGGAAAGGAAACUGGACCGACCCUUCGGGAGCUUGUACAGGUGCUGCAUGGCUGUCGUCAGCUCGUGUCGUGAGAUGUUCGGUUAAGUCCGCUAACGAGCGCAACCCUCGCUGUGUGUUACAAGUGUCACACGGAACUGCCGGUCAUAAACCGGAGGAAGGUGGGAUGACGUCAAGUCAGCAUGGCCUUUAUAUCCUGGGCUACACACACGCUACAAUGGGAAGGGACAAUAGGUUGCGAAGCCGCGAGGCGGAGCCAAUCCAGCAAAACUUCCCUCAGUUCAGAUUGCAGGCUGCAACUCGCCUGCAUGAAGUUGGAGUUGCUAGUAAACGCAGGUCAGCCAUACUGCGUUGAAUACGUUCCCGGGGCUU